Molecule: ribosomal RNA, 457 nt
Filed under: Salmonella enterica subsp. enterica serovar Itami str. SA20014991
Lineage: Bacteria; Pseudomonadati; Pseudomonadota; Gammaproteobacteria; Enterobacterales; Enterobacteriaceae
Description: bacterial LSU rRNA
Rfam family: Bacterial large subunit ribosomal RNA
Source: RNAcentral
CCGCCCAAGAGUUCAUAUCGACGGCGGUGUUUGGCACCUCGAUGUCGGCUCAUCACAUCCUGGGGCUGCAAGUAGGUCCCAAGGGUAUGGCUGUUCGCCAUUUAAAGUGGUACGCGAGCUGGGUUUAGGAACGUCGUGAGACAGUUCGGUCCCUAUCUGCCGUGGGCGCUGGAGAACUGAGGGGGGCUGCUCCUAGUACGAGAGGACCGGAGUGGACGCAUCACUGGUGUUCGGGUUGUCAUGCCAAUGGCACUGCCCGGUAGCUAAAUGCGGAAGAGAUAAGUGCUGAAAGCAUCUAAGCACGAAACUUGCCCCGAGAUGAGUUCUCCCUGAGACUUUAGGUCUCCUGAAGGAACGUUGAAGACGACGACGUUGAUAGGCCGGGUGUGUAAGCGCAGCGAUGCGUUGAGCUAACCGGUACUAAUGAACCGUGAGGCUUAACCUUACAACGCCGAAG